Molecule: ribosomal RNA, 497 nt
Filed under: uncultured bacterium
Lineage: Bacteria
Description: partial 16S ribosomal RNA
Rfam family: Bacterial small subunit ribosomal RNA
Source: RNAcentral
GAUGAACGCUGGCGGCGUGCCUAAUACAUGCAAGUCGAGCGAACAGACGAGGAGCUUGCUCCUCUGACGUUAGCGGCGGACGGGUGAGUAACACGUGGCUAACCUACCUAUAAGACUAGGAUAACUUCGGGAAACCGGAGCUAAUACCGGAUAAUCUAUUGCACCGCAUGUUUCAAUAGUGAAAGUCGGUUUUGCUCUCACUUAUAGCUGGUUCCGCGCCGCUUUAGCUAUUUGGUAAGUUAACAGCUUCCCAAGGCAACGUUGCCUAACCCACCUGAGAGGGUGAUCGCCCACACUGGAACUGACACACCGUCCAGACUCCUACGGGAGCCAGCAGUAGGGAAUCUCCCGCAACGGGCGGACGCCUGCCGGAGCAACGCCGCGUGAGUGAGGAAGGUCUUCGGUUCGUAAAACUCUGUUAUUAGGGCAGAACAACUGUGUAAGUAACUAUGCCCGCCUUGACGGUACCGAAUCAGAAAUCCACGGCUAACUACGUG